RNAcentral lists this ribosomal RNA (506 nucleotides) under uncultured bacterium. RNAcentral describes it as "partial 16S ribosomal RNA". It matches the Rfam family "Bacterial small subunit ribosomal RNA", at positions 29 to 523 of the family's 1533-position model. The record is from RNAcentral.
AGUGAACGCUGGCGGUAGGCCUAACACAUGCAAGUCGAACGGCAGCACAGGAGAGCUUGCUCUCUGGGUGGCGAGUGGCGGACGGGUGAGGAAUACAUCGGAAUCUACUCUGUCGUGGGGGAUAACGUAGGGAAACUUACGCUAAUACCGCAUACGACCUACGGGUGAAAGCAGGGGACCUUCGGGCCUUGCGCGAUUGAAUGAGCCGAUGUCGGAUUAGCUAGUUGGCGGGGCAAAGGCCCACCAAGGCGACGAUCCGUAGCUGGUCUGAGAGGAUACUAGGCCACACUGGAACUGAGACACGGUCCAGACUCCUACGGGAGGCAGCAGUGGGGAAUAUUGGACAAUGGGCGCAAGCCUGAUCCAGCCAUACCGCGUGGGUGAAGAAGGCCUUCGGGUUGUAAAGCCCUUUUGUUGGGAAAGAAAUCCAGCUGGCUAAUACCCGGUUGGGAUGACGGUACCCAAAGAAUAAGCACCGGCUAACUUCGUGCCAGCCGCCGCCGUAA